This 1502-nucleotide ribosomal RNA is filed under the name uncultured bacterium. RNAcentral's name for it is "16S ribosomal RNA". It matches the Rfam family "Bacterial small subunit ribosomal RNA". The record is from RNAcentral.
UAGAGUUUGAUCCUGGCUCAGAUUGAACGCUGGCGGCAGGCCUAACACAUGCAAGUCGAACGGUAGCACAGAGAGCUUGCUCUCGGGUGACGAGUGGCGGACGGGUGAGUAAUGUCUGGGAAACUGCCUGAUGGAGGGGGAUAACUACUGGAAACGGUAGCUAAUACCGCAUAACGUCGCAAGACCAAAGAGGGGGACCUUCGGGCCUCUUGCCAUCAGAUGUGCCCAGAUGGGAUUAGCUAGUAGGUGGGGUAACGGCUCACCUAGGCGACGAUCCCUAGCUGGUCUGAGAGGAUGACCAGCCACACUGGAACUGAGACACGGUCCAGACUCCUACGGGAGGCAGCAGUGGGGAAUAUUGCACAAUGGGCGCAAGCCUGAUGCAGCCAUGCCGCGUGUAUGGAGAAGGCCUUCGGGUUGUAAAGUACUUUCAGCGGGGAGGAAGGUGUUGUGGUUAAUAACCACAGCAAUUGACGUUACCCGCAGAAGAAGCACCGGCUAACUCCGUGCCAGCAGCCGCGGUAAUACGGAGGGUGCAAGCGUUAAUCGGAAUUACUGGGCGUAAAGCGCACGCAGGCGGUCUGUCAAGUCGGAUGUGAAAUCCCCGGGCUCAACCUGGGAACUGCAUUCGAAACUGGCAGGCUAGAGUCUUGUAGAGGGGGGUAGAAUUCCAGGUGUAGCGGUGAAAUGCGUAGAGAUCUGGAGGAAUACCGGUGGCGAAGGCGGCCCCCUGGACAAAGACUGACGCUCAGGUGCGAAAGCGUGGGGAGCAAACAGGAUUAGAUACCCUGGUAGUCCACGCCGUAAACGAUGUCGACUUGGAGGUUGUGCCCUUGAGGCGUGGCUUCCGGAGCUAACGCGUUAAGUCGACCGCCUGGGGAGUACGGCCGCAAGGUUAAAACUCAAAUGAAUUGACGGGGGCCCGCACAAGCGGUGGAGCAUGUGGUUUAAUUCGAUGCAACGCGAAGAACCUUACCUACUCUUGACAUCCAGAGAACUUUCCAGAGAUGGAUUGGUGCCUUCGGGAACUCUGAGACAGGUGCUGCAUGGCUGUCGUCAGCUCGUGUUGUGAAAUGUUGGGUUAAGUCCCGCAACGAGCGCAACCCUUAUCCUUUGUUGCCAGCGGUCCGGCCGGGAACUCAAAGGAGACUGCCAGUGAUAAACUGGAGGAGGGUGGGGAUGACGUCAAGUCAUCAUGGCCCUUACGAGUAGGGCUACACACGUGCUACAAUGGCGCAUACAAAGAGAAGCGAACUCGCGAGAGCAAGCGGACCUCAUAAAGUGCGUCGUAGUCCGGAUUGGAGUCUGCAACUCGACUCCAUGAAGUCGGAAUCGCUAGUAAUCGUAGAUCAGAAUGCUACGGUGAAUACGUUCCCGGGCCUUGUACACACCGCCCGUCACACCAUGGGAGUGGGUUGCAAAAGAAGUAGGUAGCUUAACCUUCGGGAGGGCGCUUACCACUUUGUGAUUCAUGACUGGGGUGAAGUCGUAACAAGGUAGCC